Molecule: ribosomal RNA, 577 nt
Filed under: uncultured bacterium
Lineage: Bacteria
Description: bacterial SSU rRNA
Rfam family: Bacterial small subunit ribosomal RNA
Source: RNAcentral
CCUACGGGAGGCAGCAGUAGGGAAUAUUGGUCAAUGGGUGAGAGCCUGAACCAGCCAUGCCGCGUGCAGGAAGAAGGCCUUCUGGGUUGUAAACUGCUUUUGCCAGGGGAUAAAAAUACCUUGCGAGGUAGAUUGAAGGUACCUGGUGAAUAAGCCACGGCUAACUACGUGCCAGCAGCCGCGGUAAUACGUAGGUGGCAAGCGUUGUCCGGAUUUAUUGGGUUUAAAGGGUGCGUAGGCGGCCCUGUAAGUCAGUGCUGAAAUAUCCCGGCUUAACCGGGAGGGUGGCAUUGAUACUGCGGGGCUAGAGUACAGAUGAGGUAGGCGGAAUUGACGGUGUAGCGGUGAAAUGCUUAGAUAUCGUCAAGAACACCUAUAGCGAAGGCAGCUUACUAGGCUGUAACUGACGCUGAGGCACGAAAGUGUGGGGAUCAAACAAGAUUAGAUACCCUGGUAGUCCACACUGUAAACGUUGAUUACUCGCUGUGUGCGAUAUACAGUACGCGGCCAAGCGAAAGCGCUAAGUAAUCCACCUGGGGAGUACGCCGGCAACGGUGAAACUCAAAGGAAUUGACGG